RNAcentral lists this ribosomal RNA (488 nucleotides) under uncultured bacterium. RNAcentral describes it as "bacterial SSU rRNA". It matches the Rfam family "Bacterial small subunit ribosomal RNA", at positions 501 to 985 of the family's 1533-position model. The record is from RNAcentral.
CUACGUGCCAGCAGCCGCGGUAAUACGUAGGGCGCGAGCGUUGUCCGGAAUUAUUGGGCGUAAAGAGCUUGUAGGCGGUUUGUCGCGUCUGCUGUGAAAGGCCGGGGCUUAACUCCGUGUAUUGCAGUGGGUACGGGCAGACUAGAGUGCAGUAGGGGAGACUGGAAUUCCUGGUGUAGCGGUGGAAUGCGCAGAUAUCAGGAGGAACACCGAUGGCGAAGGCAGGUCUCUGGGCUGUAACUGACGCUGAGAAGCGAAAGCAUGGGGAGCGAACAGGAUUAGAUACCCUGGUAGUCCAUGCCGUAAACGUUGGGCACUAGGUGUGGGGGACAUUCCACGUUUUCCGCGCCGUAGCUAACGCAUUAAGUGCCCCGCCUGGGGAGUACGGCCGCAAGGCUAAAACUCAAAGAAAUUGACGGGGGCCCGCACAAGCGGCGGAGCAUGUGGUUUAAUUCGAUGCAACGCGAAGAACCUUACCUACUCUUGAC